This is a long non-coding RNA of Eucalyptus grandis, 248 nucleotides long. RefSeq lists it as uncharacterized. The record is from RefSeq and is a predicted model, not a curated record. The transcript is spliced from 3 exons. Lineage: Eukaryota; Viridiplantae; Streptophyta; Magnoliopsida; Myrtales; Myrtaceae.
CGCAGCUCCCGCUGGCCUCCAAGGUCCAGCGGCUCGCGGACAAUGUCCAGCUUGCGAGGCAGGAUUUCUAGGAGCUGAGACAAGAGGCGAGCGAACUGCAGGAGUAUUCCAACGCGAAGCUCGAUCGAGUCACGCACUACCUCGGCGUUCUUGCCGACAAGAUGCGGAAACUAGAGUAAUUAUGAUAGAAAAGCAUCACCUUUCCUGGCGAAAGAAUUACUUGGAAUUUAUACAAAGGAGAAAAGUUG